UACAGAGGUCUCAAGCGUUGUUCGGAUUCAUUGGGCGUAAAGGGUGCGUAGGUGGCUGCGUAAGUCGGGUGUGAAAUCCCGGGGCUCAACCCCGGAACUGCACUCGAUACUGCGUGGCUUGAGUACUGGAGAGGAGAUUGGAAUUUACGGUGUAGCAGUGAAAUGCGUAGAUAUCAGGAGGAACACCGAUGGCGAAGGCAGGUCUCUGGGCCACUACUGACGCUGAGAAGCGAAAGCAUGGGGGAGCGAACAGG
RNAcentral lists this ribosomal RNA (254 nucleotides) under uncultured bacterium. RNAcentral describes it as "partial 16S ribosomal RNA". It matches the Rfam family "Bacterial small subunit ribosomal RNA", at positions 524 to 776 of the family's 1533-position model. The record is from RNAcentral.